AAAACUUAGUAUAUAAAAGUAAAUUGAACAUAUUUUGUUCAAUUAGCACAUUCGAAGAUCAAAUCCAAAUAAAGCAAAGUGCAAAGAUAAAGAUUAAUUAAUAAAAAGAAGAUGGCCUAAGAAAAAUAAAAUUUCUUUGAUUGUGUAAGUUUAAAUGUCGAUGUGUACAUAUUUCUUUGAACUAAUUUUGUUUGUCAAGAUGAAUAAGAGAGAUGUUAGUAAUGCGUCCCCUUUAGUAACCAGGGAAAAUUGGUGGUGGUGGUGAUGCGUAAAUUGAUCCCAAGUUUGGAGGAAGGAUAACAUCCUCGAAAACAGGUGGAGGGGGAGAUGCCAAUGGAGCAGGAGGUGGUGAUUGAACAGGUUUAGGCGGAGGCGGGGAGUGGACUGGUGGAGGAGGAGAAAAGACGGGAGGUGGUGGUGAGUGAACUGGUGGCGGUGGAGAAUGAACUGGAGGAGGUGGGGAGUGAACUGGUGGUGGUGGUGGAGAGUGAACUGGAGGAGGUGGUGAAUGAACUGGUGGUGGUGGGGAGUGAACUGGAGGUGGAGGUGAUGGUACUAGCGGUGGAGGAGAGUGGACUGGUGGUGAUGGGGAGUGAACUGGAGGAGGAGGUGAUGCCACUGGUGGUGGAGGAGAGUGGACUGGAGGCGGUUGUGGUUUUGGACUUGGCACUGGUGGUGGAGGAGAGUGGACCGGAGGCGCCUGUGGUUUUGGACUUGGCACUGGAGGUGGAAGUGAUGUCACUGGUGGUGGUGGAGAGUUGACCGGAUGUGGCUUUGGUUUUGGACUUGGCACUGGAGGUGGAGGUGAUGCCACUGGUGGUGGUGGAGAGUUGACUGGAGGUGGCUUUGGUUUUGGACUUGGCACCUCUGGAGGUGGAGGUGAUGUCACUGGUGGUGGUGGAGAGUUGACUGGAGGUGGCUUUGGUUUUGGACUUGGCACCUCUGGAGGUGGAGGUGAUGCCAUUGGUGGUGGUGGAGAGUUGACUGGAGGUGGCUUUAGUUUUGGACUUGGGACUGGUGGUGGAGGUGAUGCCACUGGUGGUGGUGGAGACUGAACCGUAGACGGCUGUGGUUUUGGACUUGGCGCUGGUGGUAGAGGUGAUGCCGCUGGUGGUGGUGGAGAGUGAACCGGAGGUGGCUUUGGUUUUGGACUUGGCACUGGAGGUGGAGAUGAUGCCACAGGUGGUGGUGGAGAGUGAACCGGAGGUGGAUUUGGUUUUGGACUUGGUACUGGUGGGGGCGGUGAUGCCACGGGUGGUGGUGGAGAGUGAACCGGUACUGGUGGGGGCGGUGAUGCCACGGGUGGUAGUGGAGAGUGAACCGGAGGUGGUUUUGGUUUUGGACUUGGCACUGGCGGAGGCGGUGAUGCCACGGGUGGUGGUAAAGGUGAAAUCUUGGGUGGAUUAGACUUAGGUGGUUUUGGGGUUGAAGGAGUUCUUUUGGGUGGCAUAGGGGGAUUUGGAUCCUUUGGUGCUGGUCCUUCUUUAUUAGCUCUACAUUUAUCUUUACUGCAAUCCACAGGUUUGCUCAAAACAGAUUGACAAUCUUUCUCUUUUC
Molecule: long non-coding RNA, 1557 nt
Filed under: Nicotiana tabacum (common tobacco)
Lineage: Eukaryota; Viridiplantae; Streptophyta; Magnoliopsida; Solanales; Solanaceae
Description: long non-coding RNA (NTAB_LNC007377)
Source: RNAcentral